CCUGUUGCUGAUUAGAGUUAGUUUUGGAGAAGAUUUUCAAUUCUUAUGAUUUCCUCUCCUCAUCUUAUCAGCAUAAACACAUGAGGUGACAGGAAGCCACGUAUCUAGUUUGAAUUGUAACGGAAGAUUUCAGAUCAAAAAGGCGUUCCUGCUGGAUGGAUUCUGAAUACAGCAAAUAUAUGGCAAAAAGGGAUGUGAACUUUUGUCAUUCCAAGGAAUGUGAGAAUCCUGCCUGAAGGGUGAACUGUGAAAUGCAACAUGAGUGACACGGAGAGGGCAGCGGGUUCUAUGUUGGUGUCUAACAGCACGGAUGAGUACAUUCACAGGCACUGCCCAAGAAGCUGAUGAACCUCCAGAGUUCCUUGUUGAGGAAGAAAAUCAUCAGGGAAAGACUUGACUUUUUUUUAGAAGUCCAAUGAUGCAUGGCUCCAGGAAAAAUAUAGUCACAGGAUGCAAUGUUUUUUUGAAGAUUUUUCCACAUUAAUUAGUUUUCACAGGAAGCAUAAAGUAGCUACAUUUAGUAGCAGUAGCCUAUAAUAUCAUCAAGAUAGUUGUUUACAAUAAAAUAUAAUAUUCAUAUUUGCUUCUGUUUAAAUCUUAAAGCAUAUAUUAUCAGUCUAAUAUAUCAACUGUCACUGUUAUAUUUUAUUACUUUUAAUAAUUUUCUAUGGCUCAGCGUAUCUGGGGAGCACACUU
Acomys russatus (golden spiny mouse) is the source of this 696-nucleotide long non-coding RNA. RefSeq lists it as uncharacterized. The record is from RefSeq and is a predicted model, not a curated record. Lineage: Eukaryota; Metazoa; Chordata; Mammalia; Rodentia; Muridae. The transcript is spliced from 3 exons.